This 494-nucleotide ribosomal RNA is filed under the name uncultured bacterium. Its description in RNAcentral is "partial 16S ribosomal RNA". It matches the Rfam family "Bacterial small subunit ribosomal RNA", at positions 28 to 507 of the family's 1533-position model. The record is from RNAcentral.
GACGAACGCUGGCGGCGUGCUUAACACAUGCAAGUCGAACGGAAAGGCCUGCUUUCCCUUGUGGAUUGCGGGUACUCGAGUGGCGAACGGGUGAGUAACACGUGAGUGAUCUGCCCCCAACUUGGGUAUAAGCCUGGGAAACUGGGUCUAAUUCCCGAUAGGACUGCAGGGUGGUGCCUGUGGUGGAAAACGAUUUUCUAGUGGUUGGGGAUGAGCUCGCGGCCUAUCAGCUUGUUGGUGGGGUAAUGGCCUACCAAGGCGGCGACGGGUAGCCGGCCUGAGAGGGUGGACGGCCACAUUGGGACUGAGAUACGGCCCAGACUCCUACGGGAGGCAGCAGUGGGGAAUAUUGGACAAUGGGCGGAAGCCUGAUGCAGCGACGGCGCGUGGGGGAUGACGGCCUUCGGGUUGUAAACUCCUUUCGACCGCGAGGAAGCCACCUGGUUGGAAGGGUGGUGACGGUAGUGGUAGAAGAAGCACCGGCUAACUACGUG